This 1429-nucleotide ribosomal RNA is filed under the name uncultured organism. RNAcentral's name for it is "16S ribosomal RNA". It matches the Rfam family "Bacterial small subunit ribosomal RNA". The record is from RNAcentral.
UUAACACAUGCAAGUCGAACGGAAAGGCCCUGCUUUUGUGGGGUGCUCGAGUGGCGAACGGGUGAGUAACACGUGAGUAACUUGCCCUUGACUUUGGGAUAACUUCAGGAAACUGGGGCUAAUACCGGAUAGGAGCUCCUGCUGCAUGGUGGGGGUUGGAAAGUUUCGGCGGUUGGGGAUGGACUCGCGGCUUAUCAGCUUGUUGGUGGGGUAGUGGCUUACCAAGGCUUUGACGGGUAGCCGGCCUGAGAGGGUGACCGGCCACAUUGGGACUGAGAUACGGCCCAGACUCCUACGGGAGGCAGCAGUGGGGAAUAUUGCACAAUGGGCGGAAGCCUGAUGCAGCAACGCCGCGUGCGGGAUGACGGCCUUCGGGUUGUAAACCGCUUUCGCCUGUGACGAAGCGUGAGUGACGGUAAUGGGUAAAGAAGCACCGGCUAACUACGUGCCAGCAGCCGCGGUGAUACGUAGGGUGCGAGCGUUGUCCGGAUUUAUUGAGCGUAAAGGGCUCGUAGGUGGUUGAUCGCGUCGGAAGUGUAAUCUUGGGGCUUAACCCUGAGCGUGCUUUCGAUACGGGUUGACUUGAGGAAGGUAGGGGAGAAUGGAAUUCCUGGUGGAGCGGUGGAAUGCGCAGAUAUCAGGAGGAACACCAGUGGCGAAGGCGGUUCUCUGGGCCUUUCCUGACGCUGAGGAGCGAAAGCGUGGGGAGCGAACAGGCUUAGAUACCCUGGUAGUCCACGCUGUAAACGGUGGGUACUAGGUGUGGGGUCCAUUCCACGGGUUCCGUGCCGUAGCUAACGCUUUAAGUACCCCGCCUGGGGAGUACGGCCGCAAGGCUAAAACUCAGAGGAAUUGACGGGGCCCCGCACAAGCGGCGGAGCAUGCGGAUUAAUUCGAUGCAACGCGUAGAACCUUACCUGGGUUUGACAUGGAUCGGGAGUGCUCAGAGAUGGGUGUGCCUCUUUUGGGGUCGGUUCACAGGUGGUGCAUGCCUGUCGUCAGCUCGUGUCGUGAGAUGUUGGGUUAAGUCCCGCAACGAGCGCAACCCUUGUUCACUGUUGCCAGCACGUUAUGGUGGGGACUCAGUGGAGACCGCCGGGGUCAACUCGGAGGAAGGUGGGGAUGACGUCAAGUCCUCAUGCCCCUUAUGUCCAGGGCUUCACGCAUGCUACAAUGGCUGGUACAGAGAGUGGCGAGCCUGUGAGGGUGAGCGAAUCUCGGAAAGCCGGUCUCAGUUCGGAUUGGGGUCUGCAACUCGACCUCAUGAAGUCGGAGUCGCUAGUAAUCGCAGAUCAGCAACGCUGCGGUGAAUACGUUCCCGGGGCUUGUACACACCGCCCGUCAAGUCAUGAAAGUUGGUAACACCCGAAGCCGGUGGCCUAACCGUUGUGGGGGAGCCGUCGAAGGUGGGACUGGUGAUUAGGACUAA